Molecule: long non-coding RNA, 785 nt
Filed under: Nicotiana benthamiana
Lineage: Eukaryota; Viridiplantae; Streptophyta; Magnoliopsida; Solanales; Solanaceae
Description: long non-coding RNA (NBEN_LNC026749)
Source: RNAcentral
UCAAUGGUAUUCAAGCUUACUCGUCCCGUUAGUGUUAUUGUGGCUGGUGCCUUCUUGUCAGUUGCGUCUCACCUGCUUUUCUGCCAGCAGAGUCCGCUCAAAUGAGUAAUGAGUAAUGAGUAGUGAGUAGCGAUGUGUAAUGAGUAAAUGAGUAGCGAGUAGCGGAGUAAUGAGUAGUGGAUGAAUAUGUUUGUGGUAGUUAUUAUAGCAUUUUUGUGGUAAAAUGACUCUGAUUUGGUUAGAGAUUCUUAAUUAUCUUAUUUCUGAGAUUUGUUUUUGAAAGUUAUGGGCAAUUAUUGGUUAUUGAAACUUCCAUGAAGAUUUGCAAAUUAUUGGCUACUGAGUUUGCGGAGCUUAUCAAGUAACAUCAAUCAAUCAACUUUACACCAAUCCAAAAUUAGUAGGAGCUGGAAAUUUUCUAUAUCUCACACUUAUCCUCAUUAACAACAAUUAAGCCUUUCAUACCAAGUAGAUGGUAUCACUUAUAUUAUCUUUUGCUUCCAUUGUAUCUGUUCUUAGCUGAAACCAUUUUGAGAGAUUAUAGGUCGAGUGAAACAAUUUGCCCGGUCCCUUUUUUAGCACCUUCAAUUAUCAUAGUUUUGCACCUACCAACCAACUCAUAUGGAGAUUUGCAUGGGAUAUGGCCUAAAGUUCUAUCUUCCAUGUGCGCUACUUUCAUAUUCGGUUGAAUAUUAUAAUUUGUAAUCUUGUCCCAUCUUGUAAGACAUACGGCUUCACAUCCAUCUUAAUAUUUGCUUUUUUGCAACAUUCAUCGUAAUCUUGAC